GAGGAAUAUUGGUCAAUGGACGAGAGUCUGAACCAGCCAAGUAGCGUGAAGGAUGACUGCCCUAUGGGUUGUAAACUUCUUUUAUACGGGAAUAAAGUUAGCCACGUGUGGCUUUUUGUAUGUACCGUAUGAAUAAGGAUCGGCUAACUCCGUGCCAGCAGCCGCGGUAAUACGGAGGAUCCGAGCGUUAUCCGGAUUUAUUGGGUUUAAAGGGAGCGUAGGCGGGUUGUUAAGUCAGUUGUGAAAGUUUGCGGCUCAACCGUAAAAUUGCAGUUGAUACUGGCGACCUUGAGUGCAACAGAGGUAGGCGGAAUUCGUGGUGUAGCGGUGAAAUGCUUAGAUAUCACGAAGAACUCCGAUUGCGAAGGCAGCUUACUGGAUUGUAACUGACGCUGAUGCUCGAAAGUGUGGGUAUCAAACAGGAUUAGAUACCCUGGUAGUCCACACAGUAAACGAUGAAUACUCGCUGUUGGCGAUAUACGGUCAGCGGCCAAGCGAAAGCAUUAAGUAUUCCACCUGGGGAGUACGCCGGCAACGGUGAAACUCAAAGGAAUUGACGGGGGCCCGCACAAGCGGAGGAACAUGUGGUUUAAUUCGAUGAUACGCGAGGAACCUUACCCGGGCUUAAAUUGCAACUGACUGAACCGGAAACGGUUCUUUCUUCGGACAGUUGUGAAGGUGCUGCAUGGUUGUCGUCAGCUCGUGCUGUGAGGUGUCGGCUUAAGUGCCAUAACGAGCGCAACCCUUAUCGAUAGUUACUAGCAGGUCAUGCUGAGGACUCUAUUGAGACUGCCGUCGUAAGAUGUGAGGAAGGUGGGGAUGACGUCAAAUCAGCACGGCCCUUACGUCCGGGGCUACACACGUGUUACAAUGGGGGGUACAGAAGGCAGCUACACGGCGACGUGGUGCUAAUCCCGAAAGCCUCUCUCAGUUCGGAUUGGAGUCUGCAACCCGACUCCAUGAAGCUGGAUUCGCUAGUAAUCGCGCAUCAGCCACGGCGCGGUGAAUACGUUCCCG
Molecule: ribosomal RNA, 1017 nt
Filed under: uncultured organism
Description: bacterial SSU rRNA
Rfam family: Bacterial small subunit ribosomal RNA
Source: RNAcentral